RNAcentral lists this ribosomal RNA (318 nucleotides) under Bradyrhizobium sp. DASA 35027. Its description in RNAcentral is "bacterial SSU rRNA". It matches the Rfam family "Bacterial small subunit ribosomal RNA", at positions 20 to 363 of the family's 1533-position model. Lineage: Bacteria; Pseudomonadati; Pseudomonadota; Alphaproteobacteria; Hyphomicrobiales; Nitrobacteraceae. The record is from RNAcentral.
UGGCUCAGAACGAACGCUGGCGGCAGGCUUAACACAUGCAAGUCGAGCGGGCGUAGCAAUACGUCAGCGGCAGACGGGUGAGUAACGCGUGGGAACGUACCUUUUGGUUCGGAACANUUUUUGGNAAACUUGUGCUAAUACCGGAUAAGCCCUUACGGGGAAAGAUUUAUCGCCGAAAGAUCGGCCCGCGUCUGAUUAGCUAGUUGGUAGGGUAAUGGCCUACCAAGGCGACGAUCAGUAGCUGGUCUGAGAGGAUGAUCAGCCACAUUGGGACUGAGACACGGCCCAAACUCCUACGGGAGGCAGCAGUGGGAAGGG